Molecule: ribosomal RNA, 253 nt
Filed under: uncultured bacterium
Lineage: Bacteria
Description: partial 16S ribosomal RNA
Rfam family: Bacterial small subunit ribosomal RNA
Source: RNAcentral
UACAGAGGGUGCAAGCGUUAAUCGGAAUUACUGGGCGUAAAGCGUGCGUAGACGGUUAUGUAAGUCGGGUGUGAAAGCCCCGGGCUCAACCUGGGAAUUGCAUUCGAGACUGCAUAGCUAGGGUGCGGAAGAGGGAAGCGGAAUUUCCGGUGUAGCGGUGAAAUGCGCAGAUAUCGGGAAGAACACCCGUGGCGAAGGCGGCUCACUGGCCCGGUACUGACGCUGAGGUGCGAAAGCGUGGGGAGCAAACAGG